RNAcentral lists this ribosomal RNA (381 nucleotides) under uncultured Lysobacter sp. RNAcentral's name for it is "bacterial SSU rRNA". It matches the Rfam family "Bacterial small subunit ribosomal RNA", at positions 525 to 904 of the family's 1533-position model. The record is from RNAcentral. Lineage: Bacteria; Pseudomonadati; Pseudomonadota; Gammaproteobacteria; Lysobacterales; Lysobacteraceae.
ACGGAGGGGGCAAGCGUUGCUCGGAAUUACUGGGCGUAAAGCGUGCGUAGGCGGUUCGUUAAGUCCGAUGUGAAAGCCCUGGGCUCAACCUGGGAACUGCAUUGGAAACUGGCGGGCUGGAGUGCGGUAGAGGGUGGCGGAAUUCCCGGUGUAGCAGUGAAAUGCGUAGAUAUCGGGAGGAACACCCGUGGCGAAGGCGGCCACCUGGACCAGCACUGACGCUGAGGCACGAAAGCGUGGGGAGCAAACAGGAUUAGAUACCCUGGUAGUCCACGCCCUAAACGAUGCGAACUGGAUGUUGGGUGCGACUUGGCACUCAGUAUCGAAGCUAACGCGUUAAGUUCGCCGCCUGGGAAGUACGGUCGCAAGACUGAAACUCAA